RNAcentral lists this ribosomal RNA (364 nucleotides) under Wolbachia pipientis. RNAcentral describes it as "partial 16S ribosomal RNA". It matches the Rfam family "Bacterial small subunit ribosomal RNA", at positions 1050 to 1413 of the family's 1533-position model. Lineage: Bacteria; Pseudomonadati; Pseudomonadota; Alphaproteobacteria; Rickettsiales; Anaplasmataceae. The record is from RNAcentral.
UGUCGUCAGCUCGUGUCGUGAGAUGUUGGGUUAAGUCCCGCAACGAGCGCAACCCUCAUCCUUAGUUNCNAUCAGGUAAUGCUGGGNACUUUAAGGAAACUGCCAGUGAUAAACUGGAGGAAGGUGGGGAUGAUGUCAAGUCAUCAUGGCCNUUAUGGAGUGGGCUACACACGUGCUACAAUGGUGNCUACAAUGGGNUGCAAAGUNNNNAGGCUNAACNNAUCCCUUAAAAGNCAUCUCAGUUCGGAUUGUACUCUGCAACUCGAGUNCAUGAAGUUGGAAUCGCUAGUAAUCGUGGAUCAGCANGCCACGGUGAAUACGUUCUCGGGUCUUGUACACACUGCCCGUCACGCCAUGGGAAUUG